Chlorocebus sabaeus (green monkey) is the source of this 229-nucleotide non-coding RNA. It matches the Rfam family "Metazoan signal recognition particle RNA". Rfam says of the family: The signal recognition particle (SRP) is a universally conserved ribonucleoprotein. It is involved in the co-translational targeting of proteins to membranes. The record is from Rfam. Lineage: Eukaryota; Metazoa; Chordata; Mammalia; Primates; Cercopithecidae.
GCCGGGCGUGGUGGCUCAAGCCUGUAAUCCCAGCACUUUGGGAGGCUGAGACGGGAGGAUCACGAGGUCAGGAGAUCGAGACCAUCCCGGCUAACCCGGUUAAACCCUGUCUCUACUAAAAAAAAAAAAAAANNNNNNNNNNUUUUUUUUUUUUUUUAGUAGAGACAGGGUUUAACCGGGUUAGCCGGGAUGGUCUCGAUCUCCUGACCUCGUGUUCCGCCCGUCUCAG